GAUGAACGCUGGCGGCGUGCCUAAUACAUGCAGGUCGAGCGAACGGACGAGAAGCUUGCUUCUCUGAUGUUAGCGGCGGACGGGUGAGUAACACGUGGAUAACCUACCUAUAAGACUGGGAUAACUUCGGGAAACCGGAGCUAAUACCGGAUGAUAUUUUGAACCGCAUGGUUCAAAAGUGAAAGACGGUCUUGCUGUCACUUAUAGAUGGAUCCGCGCUGCAUUAGCUAGUUGGUAAGGUAACGGCUUACCAAGGCAACGAUGCAUAGCCGACCUGAGAGGGUGAUCGGCCAAAAUGGAACUGAGACACGGUCCAGAAUCCUACGGGAGGCAGCAGUAGGGAAUCUUCCGCAAUGGGCGAAAGCCUGACGGAGCAAAGCCGCGUGAGUGAUGAAGGUCUUCGGAUCGUAAAACUCUGUUAUUAGGGAAGAACAUAUGUGUAAGUAACUGUGCACAUCUUGACGGUACCUAAUCAGAAAGCCACGGCUAACUACGUG
RNAcentral lists this ribosomal RNA (497 nucleotides) under uncultured bacterium. Its description in RNAcentral is "partial 16S ribosomal RNA". It matches the Rfam family "Bacterial small subunit ribosomal RNA", at positions 28 to 507 of the family's 1533-position model. The record is from RNAcentral.